Molecule: ribosomal RNA, 253 nt
Filed under: uncultured microorganism
Description: partial 16S ribosomal RNA
Rfam family: Bacterial small subunit ribosomal RNA
Source: RNAcentral
UACGUAGGGGGCAAGCGUUACUCGGAAUUACUGGGCGUAAAGGGUGCGUAGGCGGCUGGGCAAGUCAAGGAUGAAAUCCCGAGGCUCAACUUCGGAACUGUCCUUGAAACUGCUCAGCUUGAGGGUAGUUGAGGAGAGCGGAAUUCCCGGUGGAGCGGUGAAAUGCGUAGAUAUAUGGAGGAACACCAGUAGCGAAGGCGGCCAUCUGGCUGAUAACUGACGCUGAGGAGCGAAAGCUAGGGGAGCAAACGGG